Molecule: ribosomal RNA, 468 nt
Filed under: uncultured bacterium
Lineage: Bacteria
Description: partial 16S ribosomal RNA
Rfam family: Bacterial small subunit ribosomal RNA
Source: RNAcentral
GACGAACGCUGGCGGCGUGCUUAACACAUGCAAGUCGAACGGACAGGCCCGGCUUUUGUGCGGUUCUCGAUUGGCGAACGGGUGAGUAAAACGCGAGUAACCUGCCCUUGUCUUUGUGAUAACAUCAGGAGACUGCGGCGCAUACCGGGUAGGAGCUCCUGCUGCAUGGGGGUGGUUGGAAAGUGUCGGCGGUUGGGGAUGGUCUCGCGGGUUAUCAGCCGGUUGGUGGGGUAGUGGCGGACCAAGGCUUCGACGGGUAGCCGGCCUGAGAGGUUGAACGGCCACAAGGGGACUGCGAGACGGCCCAGACGGCUACGGGCGGCAGCAGGCGGGAAUAUUGCGCAAUGGCGCGAAGCCUGAUGCAGCAAUGUCGCGAGCGUGAUGCCGUCCUACGGGUUGAAAACCGCUUUCUCCUGUAACGAAGCGUGAGUGACGGUAAUGGGUAAAGAAGCCCCGGCUAACUACGUG